GUAUUUGAAUGUAAUUAAGCUUGUAAAUGGGAUCAAAUAUUAAAGAUAUCUCUAAAGGCGUUUGCUAAAAUUAUUCAGAGGGGGGGAAAAUCUAUAAAAGAAUUUAAGAGCUUAAAGAAAUCUUUACUUUUGCCUUUUUUGCAGUGCUGGUGAACAAACCCUGGAGCCUACUCUGCAAGCACUUCUAGCAUUAACAACACCCGCAGGCCCCUUAAGGGAAAGUUUUUGGCAGAUAAAUAGGUGUGGAUUUCU
RNAcentral lists this long non-coding RNA (252 nucleotides) under Cavia porcellus (domestic guinea pig). RNAcentral describes it as "lncRNA (ENSCPOG00000038892.1)". The record is from RNAcentral. Lineage: Eukaryota; Metazoa; Chordata; Mammalia; Rodentia; Caviidae.